AUGGCAAAGAAAGGGAAGUGGUUUAGUGCUGUCAGGAGAGUGUUCAGCUCCUCUGAUCCGGAGGGGAAAGAAGCUAAGACUGAGAAGGCAGACAAGCCUAAAUCCCGGAGGAAAUGGCCAUUUGGCAAGUCAAAGCGCUUUGAUCCGCCCACCUCGACAGUGUCAGACAUCACUCCAGUAGCUCCAUCGCCGCUGCCGCUGCCGUUGCCGCCUACGCAGCCUCCUCAGCCACAGUCCGAGGAGAUAAAAGAUGUCAAGCCAGUCGAAACGGAGAGUGAACAAAACAAGCAUGCCUACUCUGUUGCGCUUGCCUCUGCUGUCGCUGCGGAAGCCGCUGCCGUCGCUGCCCAGGCCGCUGCUGAGGUUGUCCGCCUCACAGCAGUCCCCGCAGCCACAUCAAGGCCACCUGUUUGCUCACAGGAAGAACUCGCCGCUGUCAAGAUUCAGACCGCCUUCAGGGGUUAUCUGGCAAGGAGAGCACUGCGUGCACUGAGAGGACUUGUUAGGCUGAAGUCGCUAGUUGAUGGAAAUGCUGUUAAACGCCAAACUGCCCACACCUUGCAUUGCACACAAACAAUGGCCAGAGUUCAAACCCAAAUCUACUCUAGAAGGGUGAAGAUGGAGGAGGAAAAACAGGCUCUUCAAAGGCAGCUCCAGUUGAAGCACCAAAGGGAACUUGAGAAAAUGAAGAUUGAUGAAGACUGGGAUCAUAGCCAUCAAUCCAAAGAACAGAUCGAGGCCAGCUUAAUGAUGAAACAGGAAGCUGCACUAAGACGAGAAAGAGCACUUGCAUAUGCAUUUUCUCAUCAGUGGAAGAAUUCUGGUCGAACUGUAACACCAACAUUCACAGACCAAGGAAAUCCUAAUUGGGGCUGGAGCUGGAUGGAACGCUGGAUGUCAGCAAGGCCUUGGGAGAACCGAGUGGUGUCAAACAAGGAUAAAGACGGUGCUCUGACUAAGAAUCCCAGCACUAACGCUGCUCGAACUUUUGUGCCCCGUGCUCUCUCAAUCCAGAGGCCUGCAACACCAAGCAAGUCGAGCCGUCCACCAAGCCGGCAAUCACCAUCAACCCCCCCAUCAAAGAACCCCUCUGUUGCAGGUAAAUUCAGACCUUCAAGCCCAAGAGAUAGCUGGUUAUACAGGGAGGAUGACUUGAGGAGCAUCACAAGCAUACGCUCUGAGCGCCCAAGGAGGCUGAGCACAGGUGGAGGCUCGAUCCAGGACGAUUCGAGCCUAACAAGCACCCCAGCUCUCCCCAGCUACAUGCAGUCCACAAAGUCUGCAAGAGCGAAAUCUCGGUACCACAUGGUAUUCGCCGACAAGUUUGAGGUCCCUGAUAGAGCAUCUCUGGUCCACUCAUCGAUAAAGAAGCGCCUAUCCUUCCCAGCUGCAGAGAAACCAAAUGUCACACCCGCAGAUAAGCUGAAGGAAAGAGCGAGGCGCCAUUCGGAUCCUCCGAAGGUGGAUCCUGCCUCCCUGAAGGAUGUCAAUGUUGCCUGA
Molecule: ribosomal RNA, 1500 nt
Filed under: Triticum aestivum (bread wheat)
Lineage: Eukaryota; Viridiplantae; Streptophyta; Magnoliopsida; Poales; Poaceae
Description: partial small subunit ribosomal RNA
Source: RNAcentral